UUGGUGAUGGACAGGGAAGUCUGGCGUGCUGAGAUUCAUGGGGUCACAAAGAGUCAGGACACGACUGAGCGACUGAACUGAACUGAACUGACGUUCUGCUCCUGAGAAUCUGAACACAGGAACUCAGUGUCCAUGCUGCCUGGAGCUUCCUGAGUUAGCUUACUGCAUAUCCCAGAGGGCGGGGACUGUCCCUUCACUUCUGCCCUGAGUGAUGUUCCCUCACUCCUAGUCCUCCUUGGGUGGUCCCCUCUUCUCCUUACCCUGACGGGGGCGCUAAGCACCAAGGCUGAGCCUGGAGGCUGGGGCCUGAUCCGGGUUCUUGGGGGCGGGGCCUGCAGCCCAGGUGGGAGGAGCCUGGCUCCCUCUGGGGUCCUGGCAUCUCCCCUCCCAGUGGAGCAGCCCGUCAUGGGAGAGCAGAGGCCGUUGGAGGCCCUCUCUGGAGGAGCUGAGGCUGUGCUUCCAGCUGGAGAACCACACCCUCUGGGCCCCUGGCAGGUGCCCUGUGCCCCAGGCUCUCUGGGGUCCUUGAGGAGUCCCUGACCAGGCCAGACCAGCCCCACCCACAACAGGCCCGACACCCAGCAGGUGGAAGACUCAGAGGACAAGGCAGGAGGGGCAGUUAUGGGAGGGACCGAUUUGCAUGGCGACCUUGCCUCCCCAGGCUGUGGGAGGGAUAAAGGAGCCCAGAGGGGCUGUGUCUGCUGAGAGACUAGAAGGAGGGGCUCAGGGAGCGCCCCCACCAUGGCCUGGACCCCUGUCCUCCUCAGCCUCCUCACCCACUGCACAGGUCACUGGAUCCUCGGGGUUUGGGGACAUAGCCCCAGUGGCACCCAGGGCUCUGUUCUUUACCACUGGGGCCCAGGCAGUGCUGCGGGACCCAGCCCCACCAUCCCCGUGUCUUUCUUUCCUUUCUGCAGGGUCCUGGGCACAAUCCGGGCUGACCCAGGAGGCCUCCGUGUCACGGUCACUGGGUCAGUCGGUCACCCUCACCUGCACUGGGAGCAGCAACAACGUUGGAUUCUAUGGUGCGGGCUGGUCCCAACACCGCCUAGGUGCAGCCCCCAGAACCGUGGUGCUGGGAAGUUCUCGGCCCUCAGGCCUCCCAGCCCGGCUCUCGGGCUCCCGUUCUGGCUCCACCGCCUUGCUGAGCAUCUCUGGGCUGCAGGCUGAGGACGAGGCUGACUAUUACUGUUCCUCGUGGGCCCACAGCCUCAGUGCUCCCGCGGUGCCCAGGGAUGUGGGGAAGAGGGACAAAAACCUCCCGCUGGCUGAUGGCUCUUUGUGAUGACUGGUGUCCAACAGCAGUGGGAGGACUGGGUUCUCUGUUAUUUCUUCCUCCCCACACUGGAGGGUCUGGAGCUGGGGUCUCAGCACAUCCUGUGAUGGGAUCUGUCUGAGGGCCGCUUCCAUGCUGGUCUCACGUCCACUCUGUGUCAGCUCCAUGGAUCCCCUGAGAAUCAUGAGGUGAGAGACUGCUCCCCAGGCUCACACCCUCUGCACCUGGGAAUCAUUGGCAUACACUUAACCACAGUGUGAAGAAUCAUUCACAUCACUGGACACGAGGCUGGCCUUUCAUUUUGGUCCUGGGAAGCAUUCUAUAAGCCCCAGGGAUGUCCUGUCUGAGAGAAGGGUCUAUGUCUGGUAACCUUGGACUGCUCAGAUGGGGUUCAGGUAGGCAACUCUGGGUCAAGUACAAUGGGGUCCUAAACAUAGAGACAAUAAUUAUAGAUAAUAACAAUAAAGAAAAAUUUGAAAGUUAUUAGUUCUUAUCAAUCCUGGUCUUGGGUGUG
This is a non-coding RNA of Bubalus bubalis (water buffalo), 1790 nucleotides long. The record is from the annotation of a RefSeq genome assembly. Lineage: Eukaryota; Metazoa; Chordata; Mammalia; Artiodactyla; Bovidae.